Molecule: long non-coding RNA, 204 nt
Organism: Cervus elaphus (red deer)
Lineage: Eukaryota; Metazoa; Chordata; Mammalia; Artiodactyla; Cervidae
Exons: 3
Source: RefSeq, a predicted model, not a curated record
UGCAGCACUUUAACAGUAUUAUCUUUUGUAUUUGAAAUAGCUCAGCUGGAAUUCUGUCACCUCCACUAGCUUUGCUUGUAGUGAUGCUUCCUAAGGCCCACUUGACUUCACACUCCAGGAUGUUAGCUCUAGAUGAAUGACCACACACCAUUGUGGUUAUCUGAGUUAUUAAGACCUUUUUUUUUUGUUUUUUUUAUAUAGUUU